ACUCAAAUGAAUUGACGGGGGCCCGCACAAGCGGUGGAACAUGUGGUUCAAUUCGACGCAACGCGAAGAACCUUACCUGGGCUUGAACCGCACCGGACAAUCCGUGGAAACAUGGACUUCUCGCAAGAGACCGGUGUAGAGGUGCUGCAUGGCUGUCGUCAGCUCGUGCCGUGAGGUGUUGGGUUAAGUCCCGCAACGAGCGCAACCCUUACACUUAGUUGCUACCCGCAAGGGAGAACUCUAAGUGGACUGCUCCGGAUAACGGAGAGGAAGGUGGGGAUGACGUCAAGUCAGCAUGGCCUUUAUGUCCAGGGCUACACACGUGUUACAAUGCGCGUCACAAACCGUUGCGAACCCGCGAGGGGGAGCUAAUCGGAAAAAAACGCGCUCAGUUCGGAUUGUAGUCUGCAACUCGACUACAUGAAGCCGGAAUCGCUAGUAAUGGCGUAUCAGAUCGACGCCGUGAAUACGUUCCCGGGCCUUGUACACACCGCCCGU
RNAcentral lists this ribosomal RNA (498 nucleotides) under uncultured bacterium. RNAcentral's name for it is "partial 16S ribosomal RNA". It matches the Rfam family "Bacterial small subunit ribosomal RNA", at positions 899 to 1397 of the family's 1533-position model. The record is from RNAcentral.